CAUCUGUCCCUGCCCCCACCUUGGGGACUAUAGAGCUGUCGGGGUUGUUUUGAUGGUUAGUUUCUUUCUGUGCUUAGAAUGUGCAUUAGACGCCAUUGUACACAACCAGACAGCAUGAGGAUCGGUCAAAUCAACCUGCUAACUAGGCAACCCUGGACUCAUCUACUGAGGCUCUUCAUAACACUUCUACCAGGGGUUUUUACAGAUGAGCAUGUGAUCCAAGUUCCAUUGGGUGGGAGAGCUACUUUUAGCUUUAAUGUUACACAAAGCAUGGUAAUUACCCAGACAGAAUUGAACAGGUGUACACAUGAGAAAGUUCUUGUGUUCAGCCCCACAUAUGGACUUAAUAUCCAGGACAACAGCUAUGAAGGCCGCUUUUUCCCAAUAGCAAACCACAGCCUUGUACUGGACAAAAUACGAGAGAGUGACUUUGGGACGUACUGCUGUAAACUCACAACGUUCCCUAAUGGAAGUCUAAGGAGGAAAAUAAAGCUACUGAGAGAGACAAAACAAAAAAAUCCAUCCAGUUCAUCAGUCAUAUUGAUAAUCUCAUUGACUUGUGGCAUCGGUUUAGCAGUAUUAUGUGGUAUUGUUGGAGUUGUUUGCCAUAAGGUAAUAAAGUCUUUCAC
Triplophysa rosa is the source of this 629-nucleotide long non-coding RNA. RefSeq lists it as uncharacterized. The record is from RefSeq and is a predicted model, not a curated record. The transcript is spliced from 3 exons. Lineage: Eukaryota; Metazoa; Chordata; Actinopteri; Cypriniformes; Nemacheilidae.